AAAAGUGGAAAAAAGUGGAAGUAAGAAAAUCUUGAAGUCAGUAGCCUAGCCCGCCGGGGCGGGCUUGUUUAUGCCUGUACCCCCCGCCGGGGCGGGGGUCCCGUUUUCUGCAGCUGUCCUGUUUGGUUUUGACUUCUGUUAGAGCUCAGUUUGUGGGAUUGGGAUGAUGCGUUUGGACUCUAAUAAAAGAAGAAUUCGGCCAGAAGAGAGGAGAGCUUGCUAUUACGUAGAAAAACAACAAUCUUACAACACACAAGGCAAGAAUUCAAGAGCGAUUUCAAGGAUUGAAGAGCGAACGUUGGAGGAGUAAUUUUCAGAGAUUAUCACGACGGUUGCGAAUCAAGGCUACGUGAAGGGGUUUUCUUUAUUCUUCUUCUCUUUAGUCUUAUUUGUAAUUGGGAUGAUGUUUUCAACAAAGUAUUCAGUUUUUAAUUCAUUCGUUAUGAACUAAUUUACUUAUUAGACUUGUGAUGGAUCUUUGGGCGAAACGAUGAUUCUAUAACUUUGAUUUCCAAUUCAAUAAGAUAUUUUCAGUUUAUCUAUGUUAAUUUGAG
Molecule: long non-coding RNA, 554 nt
Filed under: Panax ginseng (ginseng)
Lineage: Eukaryota; Viridiplantae; Streptophyta; Magnoliopsida; Apiales; Araliaceae
Description: long non-coding RNA (PGIN_LNC001643)
Source: RNAcentral